RNAcentral lists this non-coding RNA (28 nucleotides) under Mus musculus (house mouse). Lineage: Eukaryota; Metazoa; Chordata; Mammalia; Rodentia; Muridae. The record is from RNAcentral.
UGUUUGUUGAUUGGGAUAUUUCUGGAAC